RNAcentral lists this ribosomal RNA (495 nucleotides) under uncultured bacterium. RNAcentral's name for it is "partial 16S ribosomal RNA". It matches the Rfam family "Bacterial small subunit ribosomal RNA", at positions 29 to 506 of the family's 1533-position model. The record is from RNAcentral.
AUGAACGCUGGCGGCGUGCCUAAUACCUGCAAGUCGAGCGAACAGACGAGGAGCUUGCUCCUCUGACGUUAGCGGCGGACGGGUGAGUAACACGUGGAUAACCUACCUAUAAGACUGGGAUAACUUCGGGAAACCGGAGCUAAUACCGGAUAAUAUAUUGAACCGCAUGGUUCAAUAGUGAAAGACGGUUUUGCUGUCACUUAUAGAUGGAUCCGCGCCGCAUUAGCUAGUUGGUAAGGUAACGGCUUACCAAGGCAACGAUGCGUAGCCGACCUGAGAGGGUGAUCGGCCACACUGGAACUGAGACACGGUCCAGACUCCUACGGGAGGCAGCAGUAGGGAAUCUUCCGCAAUGGGCGAAAGCCUGACGGAGCAACGCCGCGUGAGUGAUGAAGGUCUUCGGAUCGUAAAACGCUGUUAUUAGGGAAGAACAAAUGUGUAAGUAACUAUGCACGUCUUGACGGUACCUAAGCAGAAAGCCACGGCUAACUACGU